CCUACGGGGGGCAGCAGUGGGGAAUAUUGGACAAUGGGGGCAACCCUGAUCCAGCCAUGCCGCGUGUGUGAAGAAGGCCCUCGGGUUGUAAAGCACUUUCAGUGAGGAAGAACGCCUGGUGGUUAAUACCCAUCAGGAAAGACAUCACUCACAGAAGAAGCACCGGCUAACUCCGUGCCAGCAGCCGCGGUAAUACGGAGGGUGCGAGCGUUAAUCGGAAUUACUGGGCGUAAAGCGAGCGUAGGUGGCUUGAUAAGCCGGUUGUGAAAGCCCCGGGCUCAACCUGGGAACGGCAUCCGGAACUGUCAAGCUAGAGUGCAGGAGAGGAAGGUAGAAUUCCCGGUGUAGCGGUGAAAUGCGUAGAGAUCGGGAGGAAUACCAGUGGCGAAGGCGGCCUUCUGGACUGACACUGACACUGAGGUGCGAAAGCGUGGGUAGCAAACAGGAUUAGAUACCCUUGUAGUC
This 465-nucleotide ribosomal RNA is filed under the name Vreelandella stevensii. RNAcentral describes it as "partial 16S ribosomal RNA". It matches the Rfam family "Bacterial small subunit ribosomal RNA", at positions 338 to 795 of the family's 1533-position model. The record is from RNAcentral. Lineage: Bacteria; Pseudomonadati; Pseudomonadota; Gammaproteobacteria; Oceanospirillales; Halomonadaceae.